Long non-coding RNA from Equus caballus (horse), 2671 nucleotides. Lineage: Eukaryota; Metazoa; Chordata; Mammalia; Perissodactyla; Equidae. The record is from Ensembl.
AGGACGCCACCGGAUAAACACCAGUAAACAGAGGUGGGGAGGCUCGCACACAGGCGGUGCUAACGCAGCUCCUCCGAGAGAAACACGGCGGAGCCAAGGCACCAGGUCACUUAAAUCUCUCCAAAUUUCAGGGGAGCCUUGACAACACCUCAGGUCAGUAUUUUGGACUAUUAACCAACACUUUUCCCCCUAGCAUUUCCUCCUUCCAUACUUUGUCGCUUUCCUUCUCCUGCACCCAAAUUCUGCCCUGUGUCAUUGUCUCAGGGGAGGGGUAUGACCUCAGAGCAGAAGGAGGAGAUUCCCGGCUUUGAGUUGAAAACUCCUGGGCCGUAAGGCUGCAGCAAGGGCCACGCUAGUGAAAUCUGGAAGACAACAAGAGCAAGAGCAAUGACUCCAUCCCUCCAAUUUGAAGGGAAGGCUCCGUCUGACGGGUGUGGGUGGGAAGCUGAGGAGAGAGUCAGGAGCCACAAGAGCACACACAGCGGUGGUUUCACAGAGGGACACAGAGAGCUUUGGGGACCUCCGAGCAGAGGGGAUCUGGGUCCCAUUACAGAGAGCCCUGGGAAGUGGCAAGACUCCAAGGAAGGGAAAUGGCUUCAUGGAAUGUUCCAGCAGCAAGGUCUUAGCCAGCCUUACAGAGAUUUCCCACACACCAGGAUGGCCCCGAAGAAUAAAAAUCACCCCGCCAUUCCCAAGAGCAACAGGAGGCUAGAGAAGAAGAGAGACCAGCAAGGGGAGAAAGGCCGUCUCCACCACAACCUGCCUGGACAAUGAACAAGGACAAGCAUAGUGAUGGACAUCACAAAUGACAUUGAAGACCAGAUACCUGGACACCAUUUAAGCUUCCAGGAAAUUAGAUGCCACCAUGGAAAAGAGAGACAACUCAGGACCUCUGAGCAGGGGCAAAGCUAGCCAGGACGAUGCAGGUGGCCCUUCCCCUCCAUACCUCAUACAACUUGGCUCACAUGGCCUCUUUGGGGGUCUGAAAAAGAUGCCCCUCUGGGCUGAGCAGCCCCACAAUCUCACAACUUGUUAAGUGGAGCAUGGAUUGACUUUCAGCUUCUACUGACCCUUUGGGCCAGGCACACUUGUUCAGUGAACAAUCAGCCCAACCAUACAUGGCAGCUGUGACCACAGACAUUGUCUUUAUCUGAGUCUCACAGGAAGCCUUAUGAGACAAGCAGGGCGGAUACUGUUGCUCCAUUUUGAUGAGGAGAAAACUGGGGCCCAGAGAUGUGUCAAGGUCACACAGCAAGUAAACAGGAGCACCAGUGCUCACCAAGUCCUUUGCACUUCCCGCCUCAUCUCUGUCAGUAGGAAACAGCCCAGGGGACUAGUCCCCACGUUGCUGUUCUUUGGCUCCUAGCCAACCACUUGUAGCUAGAUAAGGGACCCCAGACUUGUCUGAAAGUUCUGGGCCUUUCUGCUCCCAUCUGUACUGUGAAAUGCUUUUUGUCACGUCUGAGCCCAUUUUCCUGCCUUAAUUAGCAAAACGUGAUGACUUGUUUUUGACACUGAAGAAUUGCUCUGGGACCCUCCGUUCGCCCUGUGGGUACAGACACGAGGCUCAGCACGUCUGAUCCCAGGCAACUCAGGGCAUUUGUGGGUCGGGGACAAUUUUGUCCUGGAUUCAUAGUAACAACUUUCAGUUAUUGUUUUCUUUUUCUCCUUCUCCUAAAGAGGAUUUGAAAUAAACACAAGUUAAUUGAAAGGUACAUUUGGAGGCACAAAGGAGGUCUUUCUGGAUUUCAGGGAUGAGGAGGUCAGGGCUCUGAGAGGGCUGGAGCACCCCAUCUUUCAGUUCAUUUCAGUUCUGCAAGCUCCCCCUCCUGGGUCACGCCCGGCCAUCCCACCUCUCAGCUCCGGCGCAGAGCAAGCUCCUCGGCCCAAUCAUGCUCUACGUGACGAUCAUCCCCCAUCCUUUGCUCCCCACCCCACCCCGUUCCACGUCCCUCUUGGCUGCUUGGCUCCGGCAUCAUCAGCUGAACUGUUCCUGCCCAGCUGCACCUGAGGAGAGGAGCCGCAUCCGCUCCUGCACUUGCUUUCCAUGAUGAGUCUCUGCACUUGGAGCUGAUGCUGCAGUGGGAUGAGCCUUUGGGGGCCUUGGGGAGGGGGAGUGUGUUUCUGCACGUGGGAGGGUCACACAUCAUCGGGGGAGGAGGGAGCGCUGUAGGUGUUAGCCUCUCGCCUCCUGAUCGUCGUGCCCUGGCUAGUCCCCUCACACAUUGAAUGAGGACUGACCCUUGUGACAAAACAGCAGAAGUGAUAGGAUGUGACUUCCAAGGGUAGAGCAUCAUAGGCAUUGCUGCCUCUGCCUUGGCCUCUUGAAUCCCUUGCCCUGGGGGAAGCCAGCAGCCAUGUCCUGUGGAUGCUCAAGCAGCCUCGUGGAGACACCCACGUGGAGAGGAGCUGGGACCUGCCACCAAAAGCCAUUGAGCCACCUUGAAACUGGAUCUUCAAGCCCCAGUCCAGCCUUCAUAUGAGUAUGGCCCAACCAACAUCUGACUGCAACCUCACAGGAGACCGCAAGCUAGACCUGCCUAGCCAAGGCACUCCUGAAUUCCUGAGCCACAGAAACUGUGAGAGCUGAUAGGUGAUUACUGUCAUUUUAAACCACUUGUUAUGCAGUAUUUGGUCACUAAUACAUCAUUACCCACUAUCAGAAGUUCCA